UAAUACGGGGGGAGCAAGCGUUGUCCGGAAUUACUGGGCGUAAAGGGCGUGUAGGCGGUUUGGUAAGUCAGAUGUAAAAGGUCCCGGCUUAACCGGGGAUGGUCAUUUGAAACUGCCAGGCUUGAGUUCGAGAGAGGGUAGCGGAAUUCCCAGUGUAGCGGUGAAAUGCGUAGAUAUUGGGAAGAACACCAGUAGCGAAGGCGGCUACCUGGCUCGCAACUGACGCUAAGGCGCGAAAGCGUGGGGAGCAAACAGGAUUAGAUACCCUGGUAGUCCACGCCGUAAACGAUGAGCACUAGGUGUUGGUUGGCCGCAGGCUGAUCAGUGCCGCAGUUAACGCCAUAAGUAUCCCGCCUGGGGACUACGGCCGCAAGGCUA
RNAcentral lists this ribosomal RNA (378 nucleotides) under uncultured Deferribacteres bacterium. RNAcentral describes it as "bacterial SSU rRNA". It matches the Rfam family "Bacterial small subunit ribosomal RNA", at positions 521 to 896 of the family's 1533-position model. Lineage: Bacteria; Pseudomonadati; Deferribacterota; Deferribacteres. The record is from RNAcentral.